RNAcentral lists this ribosomal RNA (253 nucleotides) under uncultured bacterium. RNAcentral's name for it is "partial 16S ribosomal RNA". It matches the Rfam family "Bacterial small subunit ribosomal RNA", at positions 524 to 776 of the family's 1533-position model. The record is from RNAcentral.
UACGUAGGGUGCAAGCGUUAAUCGGAACUACUGGGCGUAAAGCGUGCGCAGGCGGUGAUGCAAGACAGAUGUGAAAUCCCCGGGCUUAACCUGGGAACUGCAUUUGUGACUGCAUUGCUGGAGUGCGGCAGAGGGGGAUGGAAUUCCGCGUGUAGCAGUGAAAUGCGUAGAUAUGCGGAGGAACACCGAUGGCGAAGGCAAUCCCCUGGGCCUGCACUGACGCUCAUGCACGAAAGCGUGGGGAGCAAACAGG